This is a long non-coding RNA of Ostrea edulis (European flat oyster), 2229 nucleotides long. RefSeq lists it as uncharacterized. Lineage: Eukaryota; Metazoa; Mollusca; Bivalvia; Ostreida; Ostreidae. The record is from RefSeq and is a predicted model, not a curated record. The transcript is spliced from 2 exons.
AUAUGACUUGAUUCUGAAAUAAUAAAAAAACACCGCACGACACAAUCAGCAAAAUAUACAUGCUCGGAAAACAUCAUGAAGAGUGAUAUACCGUUCCUCUUAGAAGCAAUUUGAUCAGAUGAUAUAUGUCUUCAUCUUGUAUACUCUAGGGAUUUAUGAGAUUGAUCACCGUUCCUAAUCUUUAGUUUUUCAUAACUCUACCAGGAAGAUAUGAGUUCAUUUUUCGUAGUGAUCAGUAAAGGACUAAGACCAUGUUUAUCAAAAUUCGGCCUAACGUCCAAAGUGAAUAUUUUUUUGUUAGAAAUAUUCUCUAACAUGUUCUUUUCCUAUAAUGAACUGGUUUUUAUAUGUAGAGUUCGUGAAAGAACACUAUUUUAAGGUUUACAUUACUAGUAUAAAUCCUAUAAUUUGCUCUACUUUUUAAGAUUGCGUCAUACAACGUCGCUAUAUAUUAUUAGAAGUGGUAACGUAUUGUAAAACAUAAUUAUGCAAUUAGUGGUUUAAUAUAUAAUAAGAUCUUGAAAAAGAAAUUUUCUUUCCCAAUACGCAAUAAGGUUAUUUUACUUAUAGUCCGAAUGGCACACCAUAUUUUUCAAUCCUUCAUUCGGCCAUUUUCACACGCCGCGCCGUUAGCCUGUUUGAGCUGUUCGUGGAAGUUGCAGAGGAUGUACUCAUCGCAUUUCAACGAUGAUAUAAUAUGUACAGCAAAAAUUGAUGACAAGGGUGACAUGAAUCAGAUUGACAAGAAUCCAUAUUCCUACUCCUCAAUAAUGCUAUCAUCACUGCCAUCAGAUUCAUCAAUGAUAGUGGCAUCAGUGACACAUGAGGAUAAGUGUUGGACAUCACUGCAGGAAUAGCUUCCUUGUUGUGUCUGCCAAUAGCAAGGUACCAGAUUAUACAGCAGUUAUGUGGAAACAGAUUCCCACAAUAGGGGGACCAGAUUGACACCUACAUUGUACAGUAUCAGGCAGUUAUAUCAAAACUGGAAAAACUGGAUCCAAACAAGACUAUAUUGCUUGGAAGAAACAUGUCGACUCUGAAGUUUAACCCUUAUUAACCCAUGGCACUUCCAGAGACAUCCUGAUACCAUGGUUCUAUGUCAUUUGAAAUAUACCUGUGGAGGUUUUUAAAGUGUUUUUUUUUGGGGGGGGUGUUAUUAAUUGGAAGAAUUCAUAUUUGAUGAUUCAAAUGAAAAUCUGCAUGUUGAAUUAUGAAUGUCAUAAUGUACUUUUUGAAUGAGUUCAAGAAUGGUUGUCCUGAUGAAAAGUGUAGAGUCAAAAGUUAUCAAAUUGUCAAAAACACUGGUCAGGUCUGAAUUCAUCAUCUUGGACACCUUGCAGUUGGAAUUAUGAUCUUUAUGAAGAAAUGCUGAAAAUCUUGCAAAAGAGGAAAUGACAAGUUGGGGUCCAAGGCACUUGCAUAUAUGCAUGAGAAGGUGUUCUAUCCAGGCUUGAGGUCAAUUACAUAGUAAUGUAACGCCUUACAUUACCUAGAAAAUUUCGCAUUACCAUUACUCCUAUUUUAAAAUAUAAUGUAUUACAUUACUUGAGAGUGAAUUUACAUUACACAUUUACAUAACAUACUGUCAGAUAUUAAAGAAAUGGCAGAAAAAUUAUUUCUGUAUUAUGAUUUUUAAUUAUACAUUAACAUAUGUACACAAAAUAUUCAGCAAUGUUAGGAAACAUAUCUAUUAAGUUAUUCAUUGCAUUUGAUUGUCAUCAAUGUUUCAAAUGCUUCAGUCAAUUACUAAUAAAAUGAAUUAUUCUAAAUCUUCAAAAUAUCAUCAAAUAUUUGAAGUAGUGUAAAUGUAAUGAAAAAUAAUGUGCAGUACAGUAUGCAUUACAUUACCAUUACUUGUAAUGCAAAAAUGGUCCAUUACACCCCCAUUACAUUGAAUUGGCUGUCAUUUAAUUACCAUUACCCCAGCCCUGGUUCUGUCGAGAGGUAUUGAAAUUGUCUGUAGAGACUUUGUCUCAGGAAGUGGCCGAGACUGGUGGUGACAAUUUUGUUGGAUGUGAAUUUACUGAUACACAUGUCUACACUUGCUACACAAUAUAGCAUGUGGUGGUUUCAACAAGAAAGUUCUUACUCUGCAGGAAAUGACGAAUAGCUAAUGGAUUCACAUUUUUUCUGACUUUUCUUCUGUACAUUAAAUGCAUUGGAAAAACUUUCCUUUCCAUUAUCUUUUGCUGGUUCAUACUUUGAAAUAAAAUCAAGUCCGAAAAUAAA